Acanthosepion pharaonis is the source of this 103-nucleotide non-coding RNA. NCBI's taxonomy places the organism in Eukaryota, Metazoa, Mollusca, Cephalopoda, Sepiida, Sepiidae. The record is from the annotation of a GenBank genome assembly.
UAUGGCCAUCUCACAUUGAAACACCGGUUCUCGUACGAUCACUGAAGUUAAGUAACGUCGAGCCUGAUCAGUAUCUAGAUGGGUGAUCGCUUUAGAAUACCGG